AAAUUGAAGAGUUUGAUCAUGGCUCAGAUUGAACGCUGGCGGCAGGCUUAACACAUGCAAGUCGAACGGUAACAGGAAGCAGCUUGCUGCUUUGCUGACGAGUGGCGGACGGGUGAGUAAUGUCUGGGAAACUGCCUGAUGGAGGGGGAUAACUACUGGAAACGGUGGCUAAUACCGCAUAACGUCGCAAGACCAAAGAG
RNAcentral lists this ribosomal RNA (200 nucleotides) under Salmonella enterica subsp. enterica serovar Corvallis. Its description in RNAcentral is "partial 16S ribosomal RNA". It matches the Rfam family "Bacterial small subunit ribosomal RNA", at positions 1 to 208 of the family's 1533-position model. The record is from RNAcentral. Lineage: Bacteria; Pseudomonadati; Pseudomonadota; Gammaproteobacteria; Enterobacterales; Enterobacteriaceae.